CCUGAACACGCCAAACCCAUCGUAAGGUGGGGACGGAAAGCCACGGGUCCUGAUAACGCAGGAUCGCCGGGUUGCCUGGU
RNAcentral lists this non-coding RNA (80 nucleotides) under Candidatus Vecturithrix granuli. RNAcentral describes it as "Bacterium UASB270 c-di-GMP sequence". It matches the Rfam family "c-di-GMP-I-GGC riboswitch aptamer". Lineage: Bacteria; Candidatus Moduliflexota; Candidatus Vecturitrichia; Candidatus Vecturitrichales; Candidatus Vecturitrichaceae. The record is from Rfam by way of RNAcentral.